GGCCUUCUGGAGACAAUCUUUGGCAGGUUAAAAAUAGAAACCGCUUGGAUCAUUCUAGCUGCAGCUGUUUGCGUUGGCUAGGUGUUGACUGGUCCAGGAUAGAACGGCGAUUUUGCGUUUUUGAUCCGGGUUGAAUUUAAGAUGCAUUAUUUUCAGUAUAUGCCUACAAAACGUCUGUCUUGUAACUGUUGUGUAAAAUAAACCUAUUCUACGGUUUCAUUUUUAUCCUAAAAAAAAGUUGUGCCUUAACAAUAGGGCAUUGUAUGUUAAUAAGGGAAAACAAAAUCUUUUUUUAAUAGAUGGGGAAAAUAGGAACUUUUUGCCAUUAAAAUUUAAGUUCUUUUAACAUUUUUAAUAUUAGAGUUGGGGAAAAUUCAUUAAAGUUAAAUACAAUUGAUAUAAAAUUAUUUUUGCAUAAUCUAGCAUUUACAACUGAAGUGCGUUUUUAUAAGAACUGGCAUCUUGAUGUAUAUAGGUCUGAAAUGAUACUUCAUCCUUUGGUUUUUUCAUUUGAACUGAUACAAGACCAGGGUAAGAUGCUACCCCAUGGACGUUUAUCUCUAGAAAAUGUGAUUGCUUCCAACGAAAUGACUAUCCCAAACUCUCUGCCCCUGGACAUACGUUGCCAAACUGAAAUUUGAAUUUUCUGAAUAAAUUGGUGAUGUCUGGAAGA
Molecule: long non-coding RNA, 673 nt
Organism: Herpailurus yagouaroundi (jaguarundi)
Lineage: Eukaryota; Metazoa; Chordata; Mammalia; Carnivora; Felidae
Exons: 2
Source: RefSeq, a predicted model, not a curated record